UUCCGGUUGAUCCCGCCGGAGGCUACCGCUAUUGGAGUUCGAUUAAGCCAUGCGAGUCCAGAGCUUUCGGAGCUCGGCGUACCGCUCAGUAACACGUGGGUAAUCUAACCUAUGCAGGGGAAUAACCUCGGGAAACUGAGAAUAAUGCCCCAUAGUCCACUACGCCUGGAACGGUGAGUGGAUGAAAGCUCAGGCGGCAUAGGAUGGGCCUGCGGCGUAUCAGGUUGUAGGGGGUGUAAAGUACCCUCUAGCCCUCUACGCGUACGGGUGUUGGGAGACAUAGCCCGGAGAUGGAUUCUGAGACACGAAUCCAGACCCUACGGGGUGCAGCAGGCGCGAAAACUUGGCAAUGCGAGCAAUCGUGACCAGGGAACUCCAAGUGGCUGGGGUAAGACCCAGUCUUUUCAGAACUCUUCAAAGGUUUUAGAAUAAGGGGUGGGUAAGGACGGUGCCAGCCGCCGCGGUAAUACCGGCGCCUCAAGUGGUAGUCGCUUUUAUUGGGCCUAAAACGUCCGUAGCCGGUUUGGUACAUUCGUGGGUAAAUCAACUCGCUCAACGAGUUGAAUUCUGCGAGGACGGCCAGACUUGGGACCGGGAGAGGUGUGGGGUACUCUCAGGGUAGGGGUAAAAUCCUGUCAUCCUGAGAGGACCACCUGUUGCGAAGGCGCCACACUAGAACGGAUCCGACGGUCAGGGACGAAGCCUAGGGGCACGAACCGGAUUAGAUACCCGGGUAGUCCUAGGUGUAAACGCUGUGGACUUGAUGUUGGAGGAGCUCCGAGCUCUUUCAGUGUCGAAGCGAAGGUGAUAAGUCCACUGCCUGGGAAGUACGGUCGCAAGGCUGAAACUUAAAGGAAUUGGCGGGGGAGCACCGCAACCUGAGGAUUGUGCGGUUUAAUUGGAGUCAACGCCGGA
RNAcentral lists this ribosomal RNA (915 nucleotides) under uncultured marine archaeon. Its description in RNAcentral is "bacterial SSU rRNA". It matches the Rfam family "Archaeal small subunit ribosomal RNA", at positions 1 to 922 of the family's 1478-position model. The record is from RNAcentral.